CCAGGCCAUGCCGCCCUGAACGCUCCCGAUCUCAUCUGAGCUCAGAAGCUAAGCAGGGUCGGGCCCGGUUAGUACUUGGAUGGGAGACUGGAAACAGUGAUGGCAGAUGCUUGCU
RNAcentral lists this ribosomal RNA (115 nucleotides) under Propithecus coquereli (Coquerel's sifaka). The record is from RNAcentral. Lineage: Eukaryota; Metazoa; Chordata; Mammalia; Primates; Indriidae.